CUCGUAGUUGAAUUUCGAGAUCGGCUUACUGGUCGUGCUUUUGUACGUACUGGUAAAUCGGUUUCUCCCUUCUGACGAACUUUAAUGCCAUUAAUUUGGUGUUUUAGGGAAUCAGGACUGUUACUUUGAAAAAAUUAGAGUGUUUAAAGCAGGCUCACGCUUGAAUACAUUAGCAUGGAAUAACGGAAUAGGACGUUUGAUUCUAUUUUGUUGGUUUCUAGGAUCGACGUAAUGAUUAAUAGGGAUAGUUGGGGGCAUUAGUAUUCAAUUGUCAGAGGUGAAAUUCUUGGAUUUAUUGAAGACUAACUACUGCGAAAGCAUUUGCCAAGGAUGUUUUCAUUAAUCAAGAACGAAAGUUAGGGGAUCGAAGACGAUCAGAUACCGUCGUAGUCUUAACCAUAAACUAUGCCGACUAGGGAUCGGAUGAUGUUAAUUUUUUAAUGACUCAUUCGGCGCCUUACG
RNAcentral lists this ribosomal RNA (462 nucleotides) under uncultured Glomus. RNAcentral's name for it is "SSU rRNA". It matches the Rfam family "Eukaryotic small subunit ribosomal RNA", at positions 627 to 1092 of the family's 1831-position model. The record is from RNAcentral. Lineage: Eukaryota; Fungi; Glomeromycota; Glomeromycetes; Glomerales; Glomeraceae.